Symphalangus syndactylus (siamang) is the source of this 508-nucleotide long non-coding RNA. RefSeq lists it as uncharacterized. Lineage: Eukaryota; Metazoa; Chordata; Mammalia; Primates; Hylobatidae. The record is from RefSeq and is a predicted model, not a curated record.
GUGGACCUGCCUGGCUUCUGGAUUAAUUCUCUCUGGUCAAACGUCCACUCAAAGUCCAAUCAGCUGGACCUCAGAAGAGGCUGGAAAAGGGCUGCUCCUCUUGGAUCCUAAGGAUGCUCUGUCCCCACACUGCACACUGGCAGCAGCUCCAGACCUGCACGCCCUGGAGAAGGAAGGAUUGGGAUUCUUCCACUUCCAACCCAACGAAUCCAAGGGAAGAACUCUGCCUAAUCCAGCUUGUCCUGAGUAAACUGUGACUGACCAGGAAACUGACCAAUGCUUCCAGGGAAGAUGCUCAUCGGAUGCCCUCCAGCUUCAAGAUGCCUUCCUCAAGGGCCUCCCCAGCUCCCGACUCCGGAUGUUGGGGCCCUUCUGUGACCACCAUCUUUGAGGAUCUGGGGAGACUCUAAUGUGAGACACGUGAACUGGUGCUGACGGCUGCCCUAAGCUGUAAUAGGAGCCAGCGUUAGGAUGGGAUCAGGACCACGGAAGAAGGCAGAGCUGAAAG